This is a non-coding RNA of Schistosoma rodhaini, 45 nucleotides long. Lineage: Eukaryota; Metazoa; Platyhelminthes; Trematoda; Strigeidida; Schistosomatidae. The record is from Rfam.
AACCAGCUGACGAGUCCCAAAUAGGAUGAAACACGCAUCCUGGGU